This is a long non-coding RNA of Ylistrum balloti, 1098 nucleotides long. RefSeq lists it as uncharacterized. The record is from RefSeq and is a predicted model, not a curated record. NCBI's taxonomy places the organism in Eukaryota, Metazoa, Mollusca, Bivalvia, Pectinida, Pectinidae. The transcript is spliced from 2 exons.
GAUAUCGCCACGAUGUAGUUUAAAUUGAUCAAAACAGAUAUUCAAGGUUGAUUUACUUUUCAUACACUUAUUUUUUUUUCUAUCGCACACAAAAAAUGUCCAUGAUAUGGACUGUUUUGACGAGGAGAGGAUUUAUCAGAUGAAAACUGUAACUACACGAAAUCAGCAUAUUUUUGUGCAGUUAUUCAUACGAGACUUGUACCGGUUUCUCAAGGUAGUUUACACCUGUGUGACUUUUAACGUGUUCUGGCAGAACGCCACAUGGGUAACGGGAGACAUCUGUUUUAACUUGCUACGGAAUAUGGGACGUCAACUUACUACUCUAGAUUAUAAUAUUUAAAACUGAUCGUAAUCUCUAAUCAGCGCCUACCCUGAAUUAACUCCAGACGUGGAUUUCGGGUGUAAGUCCUGUUUUGUAAGUGAGAUUUGACGCCGUUGGGAGGCUGGGCAUUGUGUAAUUUGUUGUAGUAACAACGACUCGGGAGUAUGGACGAUCAACAAAGGACGAAAGUCCAACCCUUUUUAGUGACCUUUAAGUGGCCAUAUCGUUGGAUGAUAUGACUUUGUUCUUCCAGCUUAUAACGUCAGAAAAAUGAGUCUGCUUGUCGCUCUGAGGCGAUAAAAUGCACUUGUUACGCGAACACAGCACGGACUGUAGUACAUCUCGUGUGCACGUGAAAGGAUUGUGUAUUUCUGUAUACUUAGCAAACAGGGAGAUUUUUGGAUAAUACAAAAAGCUAAAAUCACAUAAGGUAGGCAAAGAGUGGCGUGAUUUGUUAUCGACUAGUUUGCCGUGAUUUUUAUCGACUAGUUUGCUGUGGUUGAACAGUCGCAUUAAUACUAACAUAAUUUCAAAAUUCCUAACAUUGUUUGUUUCUGGAAAAUAAUUUGUUAUUUUCAAGUAAACAGUAACUUUAGUUUUGAAUUAUAGCGUGGAAUUUGAAUCUAAGAACAAAAAAGUAACAUAACAGUUCUCAUCUCUAUGUCUGACCUAAUCUUUGAUACGAACACGGGAUGGAAAUCCGGAAUUCUGUGUUUUUGAUUGAUGCUAAUUAAUAAAGUUUGGUUUUGAUGAAAUAAAAUUUGACACUUCUUACA